This 563-nucleotide long non-coding RNA is filed under the name Aedes aegypti (yellow fever mosquito). RNAcentral describes it as "lncRNA AAEL026964". The record is from RNAcentral. Lineage: Eukaryota; Metazoa; Arthropoda; Insecta; Diptera; Culicidae.
CCGACACUGAACAAAAGCUCCUACCACUAAUUGAAUGAUUUGUAAUUCACAUGGCUACAAAUCUGCAUAUUACUCGUUUUGAAUGAUUUUUAAACAAUAUGAUGCACCCACCGACUGCCGAACAAAAAUCAUCCAAUUUUAUGAUGACUUUUAGUAUACAUCUGUAUGACAAUGUGUUGAUAGUUGAACUUUAACAACACAAAUGAGUAACAUGCGGCUUAUGAGGGAUAUUCAUUUCUUCCAUGCCCCAAAUCAAAAAUCAUUCAAUUAUAGUCUAAAACUUCAUUCGGAUAGCAAAUGAUUCUUGACUUGAAAUCAUCCUUGUCAAUCUAAACAAAAACAUGGCGGCAGCAGCGGAACAUAGCAUUUCUUCUCGGAUUUCGCAGGUGACCAAGAACCGGUAAUCCUGGUUCGAUCCAGGGACAUUGGAGUGGAUAAUGUGGACACUUCCAGGAUGCUUCAAACAGCUAUAUUAAAGGCGGCUCAUUAGUGCGUGAAUUGUUAAUUGAUUUUUAUGUUGCCUAUUAUCAUCAAAAUAAAUGAUGACUUGUGGAAACCACCAA